RNAcentral lists this ribosomal RNA (465 nucleotides) under uncultured bacterium. Its description in RNAcentral is "partial 16S ribosomal RNA". It matches the Rfam family "Bacterial small subunit ribosomal RNA", at positions 338 to 795 of the family's 1533-position model. The record is from RNAcentral.
CCUACGGGGGGCAGCAGUGGGGAAUAUUGCGCAAUGGGCGAAAGCCUGACGCAGCGACGCCGCGUGAGGGAUGAAGGUUUUCGGAUCGUAAACCUCUGUCAGCAGGGAAGAACGGUCACUGUGCUAAUCAGCAGUGAAUUGACGGUACCUGCAAAGGAAGCACCGGCUAACUCCGUGCCAGCAGCCGCGGUAAUACGGAGGGUGCGAGCGUUAAUCGGAAUUACUGGGCGUAAAGCGCUCGUAGGCGGUAUGUCAAGUCAAGGGUGAAAUCCCCGGGCUCAACGUGGGAACUGCCUUUGAAACUGGCGAACUGGAGUGUAGGAGAGGAGAGUGGAAUUCCAGGUGUAGGAGUGAAAUGCGUAGAUAUCUGGAGGAACAUCAGUGGCGAAGGCGACUAUCUGGCACAUAACUGACGCUGAGGAGCGAAAGCGUGGGUAGCAAACAGGAUUAGAUACCCGGGUAGUC